Molecule: ribosomal RNA, 253 nt
Filed under: uncultured bacterium
Lineage: Bacteria
Description: partial 16S ribosomal RNA
Rfam family: Bacterial small subunit ribosomal RNA
Source: RNAcentral
UACGUAGGGCGCAAGCGUUGUCCGGAAUUAUUGGGCGUAAAGAGCUCGUAGGCGGUCUGUUGCGUCCGCUGUGAAAACUCGGGGCUUAACCCCGAGCCUGCAGUGGAUACGGGCAGACUAGAGGUAGGUAGGGGAGAAUGGAAUUCCCGGUGUAGCGGUGAAAUGCGCAGAUAUCGGGAGGAACACCGGUGGCGAAGGCGGUUCGCUGGGCCUUACCUGACGCUGAGGAGCGAAAGCGUGGGGAGCGAACAGG